Oryzias latipes (Japanese medaka) is the source of this 393-nucleotide long non-coding RNA. RefSeq lists it as uncharacterized. Lineage: Eukaryota; Metazoa; Chordata; Actinopteri; Beloniformes; Adrianichthyidae. The record is from RefSeq and is a predicted model, not a curated record.
CUCCAAUCCAGGAAUCAGACCGACCCUUCCUCCUGCUGCAGAACAAAGAGGGAGCUCUGUCCAAGCUGGUGCAGCAGACGGGCCGGGCGGAGGCAGCAGCCCUGCUGGAGGCCGCCAGACAGGCAGCACAGAGAGCAGAGCCGUCCUGAUGGGCUGCAGACUCUGAACACAGGUGAGGCGGGAACAAGGCGGAGCCUCCAAACUGAGGGAUUUCACGCUCCAGAAAUGGCUUUCAGUGAAAUGAACUCAUGAUUCAAAUGUUUUUAAUGAAACACAAAGAUGGAAAAAAUUCUUGAAAGCCUAAUUUAUUUUUGAGGUUUUUUAUAAAUAUUUGUAUGAAGAGUUUUUGAGUCUUCAGCUGCUUCAAAAACACAUAAAGUCCAAAAACUGAAA